RNAcentral lists this ribosomal RNA (329 nucleotides) under uncultured eukaryote. RNAcentral describes it as "partial 18S ribosomal RNA". It matches the Rfam family "Eukaryotic small subunit ribosomal RNA", at positions 1470 to 1795 of the family's 1831-position model. The record is from RNAcentral.
CCCUUAGAUGUUCUGGGCCGCACGCGCGCUACACUGACGAAGUCAGCGAGCAUCUCCUACGCCGAAAGGUGCGGGGAAUCUUGUGAAACUUUGUCGUGCUGGGGAUUGAUUUUUGAAAUUCUUGAUCAUCAACGAGGAAUUCCUAGUAAGCGCAAGUCAGCAGCUUGCGUUGAUUACGUCCCUGCCCUUUGUACACACCGCCCGUCGCUACUACCGAUUGAAUGGUUUAGUGAGAUUUUUGGACUGGAACUCUCUUGUUCAGCAAUGAACGAGAGGGACUCUGGGAAGCUAUUCUAACUGUAUCAUUUAGAGGAAGUAAAAGUCGUAAC